UCCCUGGUAGCUCAAAUGGUAAAGCAUCUGCCUACAAUGCAGGAGACCCGGGUUUGAUCCCUGGGUCGGGAA
RNAcentral lists this transfer RNA (72 nucleotides) under Ovis aries (sheep). It matches the Rfam family "tRNA". From Rfam's summary of the family: Transfer RNA (tRNA) molecules are approximately 80 nucleotides in length. Their secondary structure includes four short double-helical elements and three loops (D, anti-codon, and T loops). The record is from Rfam by way of RNAcentral. Lineage: Eukaryota; Metazoa; Chordata; Mammalia; Artiodactyla; Bovidae.